CCUACGGGUGGCAGCAGUGAGGAAUAUUGGUCAAUGGGCGUAAGCCUGAACCAGUCAAGUCGCGUGAGGGAUGAAGGUUCUAUGGAUCGUAAACCUCUUUUAUAAGGGAAUAAAGUGCGGUACGUGUCCCGCUUUGUAUGUACCUUAUGAAUAAGGAUCGGCUAACUCCGUGCCAGCAGCCGCGGUAAUACGGAGGAUCCGAGCGUUAGCCGGAUUUAUUGGGUUUAAAGGGUGCGUAGGCGGCGUUUUAAGUUAGCGGUGAAAUGCUGGGGCGCAACUAUAGAAUUGCCGUUGAUACUGGUAGGCUUGAGUAUGUUUGAGGCAGGCGGAAUGCGUGGUGUAGCGGUGAAAUGCUUAGAUAUCACGCAGAACCCCGAUUGCGAAGGCAGCCUGCCAAGCCAUGACUGACGCUGAGGCACGAAAGCGUGGGGAUCAAACAGGAUUAGAUACCCUGGUAGUC
Molecule: ribosomal RNA, 460 nt
Filed under: uncultured bacterium
Lineage: Bacteria
Description: partial 16S ribosomal RNA
Rfam family: Bacterial small subunit ribosomal RNA
Source: RNAcentral